GAUGAACGCUGGCGGCGUGCCUAAUACAUGCAAGUCGAGCGAACAGACGAGGAGCUUGCUCCUCUGACGUUAGCGGCGGACGGGUGAGUAACACGUGGAUAACCUACCUAUAAGACUGGGAUAACUUCGGGAAACCGGAGCUAAUACCGGAUAAUAUAUUGAACCGCAUGGUUCAAUAGUGAAAGACGGUUUUGCUGUCACUUAUAGAUGGAUCCGCGCCGCAUUAGCUAGUUGGUAAGGUAACGGCUUACCAAGGCAACGAUGCGUAGCCGACCUGAGAGGGGGAUCGGCGACACUGGAACGGAGACACGGUCCAGACGCCUACGGGGGGCAGCAGUAGGGAAUCUUCCGCAAUGGGCGAAAGCCUGACGGAGCAACGCCGCGUGAGUGAUGAAGGUCUUCGGAUCGUAAAACUCUGUUAUUGGGGAAGAACAAAUGUGUAAGUAACUAUGCACGUGUUGACGGUACCUAAACAGAAAGCCACGGCUAACUACGUG
RNAcentral lists this ribosomal RNA (497 nucleotides) under uncultured bacterium. Its description in RNAcentral is "partial 16S ribosomal RNA". It matches the Rfam family "Bacterial small subunit ribosomal RNA", at positions 28 to 507 of the family's 1533-position model. The record is from RNAcentral.